Molecule: ribosomal RNA, 529 nt
Filed under: Planococcaceae bacterium MN03-05
Lineage: Bacteria; Bacillati; Bacillota; Bacilli; Caryophanales; Caryophanaceae
Description: bacterial SSU rRNA
Rfam family: Bacterial small subunit ribosomal RNA
Source: RNAcentral
CGCCGCGUGAGUGACGAAGGUUUUCGGAUCGUAAAACUCUGUUGUGAGGGAAGAACAAGUGCCACGUAACUACUGGCACCUUGACGGUACCUCACCAGAAAGCCACGGCUAACUACGUGCCAGCAGCCGCGGUAAUACGUAGGUGGCAAGCGUUGUCCGGAAUUAUUGGGCGUAAAGCGCGCGCAGGCGGUCCUUUAAGUCUGAUGUGAAAGCCCACGGCUCAACCGUGGAGGGUCAUUGGAAACUGGAGGACUUGAGUGCAGAAGAGGAAAGUGGAAUUCCACGUGUAGCGGUGAAAUGCGUAGAGAUGUGGAGGAACACCAGUGGCGAAGGCGACUUUCUGGUCUGUAACUGACGCUGAGGCGCGAAAGCGUGGGGAGCAAACAGGAUUAGAUACCCUGGUAGUCCACGCCGUAAACGAUGAGUGCUAAGUGUUAGGGGGUUUCCGCCCCUUAGUGCUGCAGCUAACGCAUUAAGCACUCCGCCUGGGGAGUACGGCCGCAAGGCUGAAACUCAAAGGAAUUGACGG